This 497-nucleotide ribosomal RNA is filed under the name uncultured bacterium. RNAcentral's name for it is "partial 16S ribosomal RNA". It matches the Rfam family "Bacterial small subunit ribosomal RNA", at positions 28 to 507 of the family's 1533-position model. The record is from RNAcentral.
GAUGAACGCUGGCGGCGUGCCUAAUACAUGCAAGUCGAGCGAACAGACGAGGAGCUUGCUCCUCUGAGGUUAGCGGCGGACGGGUGAGUAACACGUGGAUAACCUACCUAUAAGACUGGGAUAACUUCGGGAAACCGGAGCUAAUACCGGAUAAUAUAUUGAACCGCAUGGUUCAAUAGUGAAAGACGGUUUUGCUGUCACUUAUAGAUGGAUUCGCGCCGCAUUAGCUAGUUGGUAAGGUAACGGCUUACCAAGGCAACGAUGCGUAGCCGACCUGAGAGGGUGAUCGGCCACACUGGAACUGAGACACGGUCCAGACUCCUACGGGAGGCAGCAGUAGGGAAUCUUCCGCAAAGGGCGAAAGCCUGACGGAGCAACGCCGCGUGAGUGAUGAAGGUCUUCGGAUCGUAAAACUCUGUUAUUAGGGUAGAACAAAUGUGUAAGUAACUAUGCACGUCUUGACGGUACCUAAUCAGAAAGCCACGGCUAACUACGUG